GAUAACCGAGGGAAACCUCGGCUAAUACCGCAUACGACCUGAGGGUGAAAGAUUUAUCGCUCUAGGAGGGGCCCGCGUCGGAUUAGCUAGUUGGUGAGGUAACGGCCCACCAAGGCGAUGAUCCGUAGCUGGUCUGAGAGGAUGAUCAGCCACACUGGGACUGAGACACGGCCCAGACUC
Molecule: ribosomal RNA, 180 nt
Filed under: unidentified
Description: partial 16S ribosomal RNA
Rfam family: Bacterial small subunit ribosomal RNA
Source: RNAcentral